CUCGUAGCCGUAACUCGUAACUCCUAACCUAAAUCAUAUUCGCACCGCACUCGGUUUCUCUCUCACCUCACAACACAACUCUCACCGCACCACCGCCGGAUUUGAAACGGGGAAUCAGUCGCCGCCGCUCCCUCUCAUUUUUCAUCUCAUUCACGUUCAUCUAUUAUUGGAGCCCUAAUAGAAUCCGCCGGUUCUUUGAGCUCUCCCGUCCAUUAGCGAUGAGUAGAGAAGGAAUCGCCGUUUUUUCUUAAAGGUAUCUCGUUCAUCACCGAACAGAAAAGGAGUUGCUGGUUUCUUCCUUUCUCUCUCAUCACCGCAGGUUCACUACUCGCGGCUCUCAAGGAAAUGGAGGAACUUCCUAAUCAAGCAAGUAGUGAAGAUUGUACCAUGUGGAAUAGAGAAAUUAAUGAGAUUACAGAGGAACGUAGGGUCGAUUUUAAUAAGGAAGGGAUUUGUGGCAGCCCCACUAAUGCUAGUUUUUCACAGCAAAAUAUGGACUCAGAAGUAAGCGAAAAACAGGGGGUACCUGAAGUUGGAAUGGUGUUUCAAACAUUGGAAGAUGCAUAUUCUUUCUAUAAUGGAUAUGCUAAAAAUGCAGGUUUCAGUGUUAGAAUAUUUAAGGGAUACAAAACGAAAUCUGGUGUUUGGAAAUCUAGGGCAUUUGUUUGUUCUUAUGAAGGUUUUCGUGGUAUUGAUAAAAGGCGAAUUCAUGCAAAAUUUCGUCGUGACAUUAGAAGAACUGGUUGUGCAGCAAGAAUCAGGCUUAUGUUGCAAGAAAAUGGAAAAUAUCGCGUGACUGAAUUUGAAGGAACUCAUAAUCAUCAACUUCUUAAUCCAAGAAGUUCAUACAUGCUAAGGUCACAUAAGAAUAUAACAAUAGCUCAUGAUGCUCAAGCAGAUCUUAUAACUGAUUCUUGUACACAUCCAAAGGCUACAUUGGAAUUUAUGGAUAGACCAGUUGAUAGAAUUGAAAGCAUUGGUUUUACUAGUUUUGACUAUAGCAAUCAUUCACAUGCAGAGAAUAAGAAGGACAUGGAAAAUGGAGGUGCAAGAGCUAUUAUGAAGUACUUUGAUAAAUUGCAAGAAGAGAACAUAUCAUCCUUCCAUUCAAUAAAGUUUGAUGAAGAGAAUCAAAUAACAAACAUCUUUUGGGCUGAUGUGAAGAUGUUGGUUGAUUAUAGUUAUUUUGGAGAUGUUAUUUGUUUUGAUACUACCUUCAAAACUAAUGAGGAGAGGCAACCAUUUGCACCUUUUGUUGGAGUUAACCAUCAUAAGCAAACCAUCUUUUUUGGAGCUGCAUUGAUGUAUGAUCAAAGUGUUGAGUCUUUUAAGUGGGUGUUUCACUCUUUUUUAAAAGCAAUGUCUGGGAAACAACCAAAAACGAUUCUUACAGACCACGACCCAAGAAUUGCAAAUGCAAUAAAGCAAGUAUUUCCAGACACAUGCCAUCGCCUAUGUAUAUGGCAUAUAUAUCAGAAUGCAACCAAACAUUUUAGUAGUAUAUUUGCUGCUUCUUCAUCCUUUGAGAAAGACUUUAGUAGCCUUAUAUAUGACCAUGAGGAUGAAGACGAAUUUCUUAAAGCAUGGCAUGAGAUGCUUGAAAAAUAUGAGUUAAAAGAAAAUACGUGGCUUCAAGAAUUAUUUGAAGUAAAGGAGAAGUGGUCUUUGGUAUAUGGGCGAAAUCAAUUUUGUGCCGACAUGAAAAGUACACAAAGGAGUAAGAGCGUAAAUAGUAUAUUGAGAGGGUACUUGAAAUCAUCUCCUGAUUUAGCUCAAUUUUUUAAUCAUUUUGAAAAGGUUGUAGCAGAUUGUCGUCAAAGAGAAAUGGAGAUGGAAGUAAAGAUGAGCCAGGGCACACCUUAUUUGUCUUUUCCGAUAAGGAUUUUGAAGUGGGCCGCAUCUAUAUAUACCCCUACAGUAUUUAGGGAGUUUGAAAAAGAAUAUUCAAGGGCCCUUGAUUGUGAUAUUGUAAGUAAAGCUGAAGUUGGAACAACGAUGGAGUAUAGAAUAAAAGAUUGUAGUAGACCUAAUGUGCAUGUUGUUACAUUUGACCCCUUAAAUGUAGCGGUUGUAUGCAGUUGCAAGAAGUUUGAGUCUGUUGGAUUGUUGUGUGCCCAUGCACUUUGUGUUCUUUUUGAAAGGCAAUUGAAACAAGUCCCACAACAAUACCUCUUAAAAAGAUGGACAAGAGAUGCAAAGGAUGGAGCCACAAUUGAUCAUCGUGGACAUGCAAUUAAACUUGAUCCUAAUGCGGGGUUCUCUACAAUGUUCACAGAGUUACAAAGAGUAGCUAGAGAGACAUCAGCACGUGCUGCAGAAGACAGAAGGGCGUUCGCAUAUUUAUUAGAUGUAUAUAACAAUGCACGCAAAGGGGUAGAAGAAAUUUUGAAGAAAAAGGGUUCUUUGGAUUUUUCAUCUCCUGGUUUGAUCUAGUAGAUUUCUUGGAUAGAAUUGGGACAGGUAGAAUUGUACAAGCUACUUAUACACAGCUCAGCCUUUUUGAAUAGAUAGCAUCCUACAUGGAGUGUACAAAAGGCUGCUUGAUUGCACAGUAAUGGGGGGGGGAAAUGUUCAAAUGGUUAUGCAAUGAAGGCUAUAGUUGCUGAUUGGGAAAAAACGAAGGCCAGGUUCAAGGAAGCUGUGGUAUUUCAUAACAAGUGAAUUGUCCCCAAAAUGUCUCUCACAACACCACAAGGAUGGGCCCACCAGUGACCAUGGGUGGCUCCAAUCCGUAGGGUUGUAGCAUUUGGCCUCUUCUAUGGCUUCAACAAGCAUCAAUCAAUGCCUCCCAAACAUCCUCAUGUAGUGGUUUCUCAUUGCUCAUAUUCAAUUAGAAAUCUCUUUGGUUCUACUCAGUUAAUGGUGAUUUCUAAUUGGUCUCUCUUUAUGAUUCCUUCGCAAUUGAAGUGAUUUCCAAUCGAGUUGGUUAACUUCUCUAAAUGAAUAAGCUUACAUCAAUUCAACUAAUGGUAAUUUCUCAUUGAUGACUUAUAGUGGUCCAUUCUUGAUGGUCUAAGGAUUGCCAAUAGACUCAUUAAAUCCUUGGCAGUUGAAGGUAAUUCUAGAUUCAAGAGGUUUCCUCUCAGUUGAAUUGGAGCUUCAGAUGGAUCCCCCAUGACUUAAAUCAAGCAGCAGUUGGGUUAGCAAAAUUAGGUAUGGGAAGGGAUAUUUUGUACAGAUCAAAUACAAUGACUAAUUAAUUGCUUGGCCCUUGCUUUUUUGUUUCUUCAGGCCCAUAUGUACAUUCUCUCUCUCUCUCUCUCUCUCUCUCUCUCGUGUACGAGCUAUAUUUUUCCAAAAAAAGUCAUAAGUAACUUUCUAGAAUUUCAAGACAUAAUAUUUCGGUUUAAAAUUAUACAAAUAAUAACAUCAUAUUCCUAAUCUUACCAUUUGUUUAAAAUAUUACAUUCUAGCUGUUAUUUUUCUUCAAUUAUAUUCGUCUCAUUGUCUUCUUCAUAUACACAGAUGCUCAACAGUUAUUAGCAAAGAUUGAAAGGCCGGAGAGGAGACUCCACUCUCCAGCAAGAUGGAAAUGGAAUGGAACAGAUCCUGAUCAAAGAAAUUCAAUAUUUGCGUUCCUUUAGUAUUAGUUGUUUUGUCCUGUAUGUAAAUAGAAAAGAGAAGUAUAUAACUUACCAUGUCGCCAAUAUGGCGAAUAGGAACUGAUGUGGAUUAGCCAGGCCCAGCCCACUAACGUCUGAUAGUGUCAGCCACAGUAGGGGGGAAGUCCUGCCUUCGUACGGAGCCAACCGCAAGACGGUCAAACGUACCCGCUAGGGCCUGCCACCUAACCUCAUAUGGCCCUCAUCUGGUGCGUUCAUCUUCACCUACUUCCAGCCCGUUCGAGUAUAAAUAAGAGGUGACUCCCCCUUAAUGGGGGACCAGAACUUGGGAUUCUAACAUAUCUCCCUCAUUUACUUUUCGCACCUACCUUCAUUCCUUAGCAUUUAUUCUUGGAGACCCGUGUAUCCGAGGACUGUCACUAAGAACCUUGUCUGCACCCCCUCCUACUUUACACCUCGUAUUGACUUGAGCGUCGGAACCUCUGCUUUGGGUUUUGACCUGAGGCCUUCGACACUUCCUGUUUUGCAGUACCUUGGAUCUCCAAGAACCUUGCCACCGGAGUGACGACUUAUAGCCCUCGGCUUCUACGGUCAUCGGAAGGAAUACCUCGCCUCGGCUAACCUCUUCCGAGGCCUCGAAGUCUUUGGCCUAUCCUCGGAAUUUGGAGAGUGAAUUUACCUCGUUGCCCCCGGCAAAUCCGUGUGGCAAUAAUUGGCGUCGUCUGUGGGAAACGUUGCUAAGAUGACCCCCUUUUUAAGAUAAAGAACAUACUUUGACUCCAAGCCCUCCUAAGCUCGAAAGCCAUGGUGCGGAGAACCAGGAAUAAAUAGAACCUGGUCACCUAUAAACAGUUUCAGGCUGUCCUCGAUCGUUUGGACCACCUUACUCAACGUAUGGAAGAAGUCUGCCCCUGAGCAGGGGGUCCCUCUCGAGGCGACCGCCCCACUGGGGUGUCAGAGGAUCAGGGUUGACACGAGCAUGUCAAGCCACCAGCCCUCGGCUAGGGGCAACAACUCGCUGGUUGAGCCAUCGGAGUCAGGCAACAACAAUCCCCCCAAUUCACCACGAAGGAACAUCUGUCCUAACCGAAGGGAAAAUGUGCCCGCUCAAUCCGAAGACAAUCACCAUCCUUUGGAGCAACACCACUGUCAUCGAAGGGAGGUCCUUAGGGAUGAUGACAGGCAUCUCAGUCGUCUCGAAGUUUGCUCCCAAGGCGAGAGCCGACGCCACACCACUCCACCUGUCUUGGAGUACUUGGGAGUCCGAGCUGAUGCCCACCAAGUCCAUGAAGACAAAAGCAGGGCCCACGCCCCCGCUGACCCAGGGAUUGCUGAGUUGCGAGCCAAGAUCGGGGCCGUCAAGGACGAGCUCCGCCAAGUUAAAGAGAGACAAGCCGACACCUCAACCAGUCACAACAACUCCACUGGCCACACGGACGCAUUCACCCCGGAAAUCAUUUCGGAACCUCUCUCCCCACACUUCAAGGCUCCUACUUUGGAGAUGCACGAUUUCUUAGACCUGGACGACCACCUAAAGAGUUUCCGAGUGCUCAUGAUACUUUAUGGGUAUUCCGACGCCUUGAUGUGAUGCACUUUCAAGGCCACCUUAAAGGGGGCAACGCGCCGCUGGUUCUCCAACCUCCCCCCGAGGUCAAUUAGUUCUUGGGAGCAGUUUGCCAAUAUGUUUCUCGCCCACUUCAUUAGAAACAGGCGAUGCCAGAAGAGUGUCGUCUCAUUCAUGUCCAUCAAGGUUUGGGUCCGGGAGGAGUUGAGUGGCAUAUAUUAGCUAUAGGUUGUGGCUCAAGCCGACGACUUCUUGUUAUCUUUGCUGUCAUCAGCGCGUCGAUCUUUGUUCUUCCUUUUCUUUUCGGAGGGCCCGCCGUUGCAUUCGGUUUCCUUGUCCUAGUGGUCCCCAGCAGAAGCCUCCUCAGCCUUAAUGCACUUUUGGGCCUUUUUCAGGAAUUCUAGCUUUGUCUUCGAUGGGGUCUUAGCGACUGAACACUUAAGGGCGGAGCCAGCUCAGAGUCUGCUGAUGGCGUUGUGCAUUGAUACCAUGGGGUCAAGGUCCCUGACCUCGACCCCAAGAACUAAUGAAGCGAGGAGAAGUUUGUAAAGUGGCCAGAAAAGAUGAAGAGAAACCCCAAGAGCGGGAACCCUAAAAAGUACUACAAGUUUCAUCGCGGUGUGGGCCACGAUACCGAGGACUGCUACGAGUUAAAGAACGAGAUAAAGUCCCUCAUCCAUCAUGGACACCUGAAGCAGUAUGUUGGAGGCGAAGUCGGCGCUUCGUCCUCCCAGCAGCAAUAGCAACACCAAUAGGUCAUUGGAGUCAUCGACGUCAUCGUCAGGGGCUCGGCCUCAGGGGGAGCCUCGUCCUCGGCCCGCAAGGGCUACGCCAGGCAGUUGAGCAUCCGAGGGCCAGCCCCCAAGAGGCCAAAGCAGCACGAUGACCUCUCUUUCACGAACGAGGACCUAAAUGGGAUGGGAUCAUGGUCCCCUAUGAUGAUGUGUUGGUAAUUUUGGCCGUAGUGGAAAACUUCCUAGUUAAGAGGAUUAUCGUCGAUAGUGGCUCCUCGACAAACAUCCUCUUCUAUGAAGCUUUUGAAAAGAUGAAAAUAGAGCCAGGGCACCUUCAACCUGUCAAUGUCCCGCUUGUCGGCUUUUCUGGCAAUAUUGUUAAACUAGAAGGAAAGAUCACCCUACCAGUCACGAUAGGAACCAAGCCUCAAUAGGUGACGAGGAUGAUGAAGUUCCUUGUCAUGAGGAUCGGCUCCCCUACAAUGCAAUCAUGGGGAGGCCGGCACUUCAUGCACUGUGAACCGCCAUGUCUUCCUACCACCUUGCCCUCAAAUUCCUAAACGAGCACGGCAUCGGAGUCGUUCGGGGGGAUCAGUAUGUUGCCUGCCAAUGCUAUAUGGUGGCGCUGAAAGGCAAGAACAAAGAAGCCUUGCCAUUGGAGGGCCUUGACCUCAGGAAAGAACCAACGAACCAAAGCCAGCCGACAAAGGACCUCGUCUCAGUUCCCCUAGACGAGGACGAGCCCGAGAAGACUGUCCGUGUCAAGUCCAACCUUCCCCCACAAAGCCUAUCCGAGCUGGUAAGUUUCCUCAAAACUAAUGCCGACUUCUUCGCUUGGUCCUCCAGUGACAUGCUUGGAAUUGACCCUUCAAUCAUUUCUCACAGGCUGAGCGUGGACCCGAGCUCUUGGCCAAAUCGACAGAAUAAGAGGAACUUUGCAAUGGAGCGAUGGAAGGCCAUAGGAGAUGAGGUUGGCAAGCUACUCAAUGCCGGAUUCAUCCGAGAGGUAUACUAUCCUAUCUGUCAAAUGUGGUUUUGGUUAAGAAAGCUAAUGGGAAAUGGCGAAUCUGUAUUGACUUCAUAGACCUUAACCGAGUCUGUCUCAAUGAAAGUUUUCCCUUACCAAGGAUAGACCACAUUGUCGAUGCCACUGCAAGAUAUGGACUGCUUAGAUUUAUGGAUGCCUUCUCCGGAUACAACUAGAUAAAGAUGCACCUCGAAGAUGAAGAGAAUACCUCAUUCAUCACCAAACAUGGCACUUACAAGGUGAUGCCCUUUGGACUUAAAAUGCAGGAGCUACCUACCAAUGCCUUGUGAACAAAGUGUUUAAGGAUCAGAUGGGGAGGAAUGUUCAGGCCUAUGUAGAUGAUAUGGUGGUGAAGAGCCUGAAAGCCGAGGCCCACACCUCAGACCUGGCCGAGGCCUUCGACACUUUGCGAAGGUUUAAUAUGAAGUUGAACCCCAACAAGUGUGAUUUCGGCGUCACUUUGGGCAAGUUUUUAGGCUUCAUCAUCACUCAACGCGGUAUCGAGGCCAACCCUGAGAAAAUACAGGCCAUACUGGACAUGGUACCUCCUUGGUCAGUGAAGGAAACCCAGAAGCUCACCGGCCAUGUGGAAACGCUCAACCGCUUUAUAUCAAAAUUAGCUAACCGUUGUCUUCCCUUCUUCUGAGUCAUCAAGAAACUAAAGGACUUCCAAUGGAUCAGGGAAUGUUAGUGAGCUUUCGAUGAACUCAAGGAGUAUCUCGCCUCGCCUCCCCUCCCCUCUUGGCCUGCCCGGUACCAGAGAAACUCUAUACCUUUACCUGUCAGCCAGGGACGAAACGGUCAGCUUAGUCCUGAUUAGAUAUGACAGAGCACAGAAACCGGUAUACUAUAUGAUAGGUCCCAGUCAAAGCUAGAGAGAGAUAGAGUAUUCUACUUAGGGUGAGAAUAAGACCACAAGAGUUUAUUAACUUUCAACUGCCCCAUCCAUGUGGUGGGGUGGUGUUUAAAUACAAAAACUUCUA
Nelumbo nucifera (sacred lotus) is the source of this 7871-nucleotide non-coding RNA. The record is from RefSeq and is a predicted model, not a curated record. Lineage: Eukaryota; Viridiplantae; Streptophyta; Magnoliopsida; Proteales; Nelumbonaceae.